UUAUAACAUCUCAUGGUGCAAUUGAACCAGAUAAGGACAACAUCCGUCUAGAGCCAUAUUCUUUACCACAGGGUUUUACAUGGGACACUUUGGAUCUGAGCAAUGCUGAAGUUCUAAAGGAGUUAUACAUGUUGCUAAACGAGAAUUAUGUAGAAGAUGACGAUAAUAUGUUUAGAUUUGACUACUCACCAGACUUUCUCUUGUGGGCAUUAAGGCCUCCAGGCUGGCUUCCACAAUGGCACUGUGGAGUCAGAGUAUCAUCCAAUAGAAAACUGGUAGGGUUCAUAAGCGCUAUUCCUGCACAUA
Molecule: long non-coding RNA, 306 nt
Organism: Gekko japonicus
Lineage: Eukaryota; Metazoa; Chordata; Lepidosauria; Squamata; Gekkonidae
Exons: 3
Source: RefSeq, a predicted model, not a curated record